AGUGAACGCUGGCGGUAGGCCUAACACAUGCAAGUCGAACGGCAGCACAGUAAGAGCUUGCUCUUACGGGUGGCGAGUGGCGGACGGGUGAGGAAUACAUCGGAAUCUACUUUUUCGUGGGGGAUAACGUAGGGAAACUUACGCUAAUACCGCAUACGCCCUACGGGUGAAAGCAGGGGAUCUUCGGACCUUGCGCGAUUGAAUGAGCCGCUGUCGGAUUUGCUAGUUGGCGGGGUAAAGGCCCACCAAGGCGAGGAUCCGUAGCUGGUCUGAGAGGAUGAUCGGCCACACUGGAACUGGGACACGGUCCAGACUCCUACGGGAGGCAGCAGUGUGGAAUAUUGGACAAAGGGCGCGAACCUGAUCCAGCCAUACCGCGUGGGUGAAGAAGGCCUUCGGGUUGUAAAGCCCUUUUGUUGGGAAAGAAAAGCAGCAGGUUAAUACCCCGCUGUUCUGACGGUACCCAAAGAAUAAGCACCGGCUAACUUCGUG
This 492-nucleotide ribosomal RNA is filed under the name uncultured bacterium. RNAcentral describes it as "partial 16S ribosomal RNA". It matches the Rfam family "Bacterial small subunit ribosomal RNA", at positions 29 to 507 of the family's 1533-position model. The record is from RNAcentral.